Long non-coding RNA from Calidris pugnax (ruff), 473 nucleotides. RefSeq lists it as uncharacterized. The transcript has 3 exons. The record is from RefSeq and is a predicted model, not a curated record. NCBI's taxonomy places the organism in Eukaryota, Metazoa, Chordata, Aves, Charadriiformes, Scolopacidae.
GGGCGGAGCGAGGCUUCCCGGGAGCGCCCCGUCGUUCAUCCCGCCCUCCGUUUCAACCGGGUCCCGCACCGGCACCCGCCACCCGCGGCUCCGCGCUAGUUCCAGUCAGCCCGAGAAUCCAUACACCAUUCAUCUGUAAAGAGGUAUGAAAGGGAUGUGAGUCAUUAGUCAUCGUCAGGAAACACGUUUCUGAAAAAUUAAUACAUGACCAGUUGCCGGAUUGAGGUUAACGAAAACAGCAAUGAAGACCAAGCAUAAAAUAUUUGAAAAAAAUAGGAUGCAAAAUGGAUAUUCCAGAUGACAAGACUCUCGUUGUCGUUGUUCCCACGGAGUCAGAGCCCUAGAGCUGCCUGACCAUGGGUGUGCUGGGUCUCCUGGGACAGAACGGGGCUCACACUGCUCCUCAAAAAAAGACUUCAGAUACUUAAAAGGAACAGAAUAAAGUGAGAGAUUUACUAAGGAGAACUUUAAGA